RNAcentral lists this ribosomal RNA (513 nucleotides) under uncultured bacterium. RNAcentral describes it as "partial 16S ribosomal RNA". It matches the Rfam family "Bacterial small subunit ribosomal RNA", at positions 28 to 523 of the family's 1533-position model. The record is from RNAcentral.
GAUGAACGCUGGCGGCGUGCCUAAUACAUGCAAGUCGAACGCGCAGCGAAAGGUGCUUGCACCUUUCAAGCGAGUGGCGAACGGGUGAGUAACACGUGGAUAACCUGCCUCAAGGCUGGGGAUAACAUUUGGAAACAGAUGCUAAUACCGAAUAAAACUUAGUAUCGCAUGAUAUAAAGUUACAAGGCGCUACGGCGUCACCUAGAGAUGGAUCCGCGGUGCAUUAGUUAGUUGGUGGGGUAAAGGCUUACCAAGACAAUGAUGCAUAGCCGAGUUGGGAGACUGAUCGGCCACAUUGGAACUGAGACACGGCCCAAACUCCUACGGGAGGAUGCAGUAGGGAAUCUUCCACAAUGGGCGCAAGCCUGAUGGAGCAAGGCCGCGUGUGUGAUGAAGGCUUUCGGGUCGUAAAGCACUGUUGUAUGGGAAGAAAUGCUAAAAUAGGGAAUGAUUGUAGUUUGACGGUACCAUACCAGAAAGGGACGGCUAAAUACGUGCCAGCCGCCGCCGUAA